This 449-nucleotide ribosomal RNA is filed under the name uncultured bacterium. RNAcentral describes it as "partial 16S ribosomal RNA". It matches the Rfam family "Bacterial small subunit ribosomal RNA", at positions 354 to 796 of the family's 1533-position model. The record is from RNAcentral.
GUGGGGAAUCUUGCGCAAUGGGCGAAAGCCUGACGCAGCAACGCCGCGUGAGCGAAGAAGGCCUUCGGGUUGUAAAGCUCUGUCAGGAGGAAAGAAGGCACCUGGGUUAAUAGCCCAAGGGCUGACGGUACCUCCAAAGGAAGCCACGGCUAACUACGUGCCAGCAGCCGCGGUAAUACGUAGGUGGCAAGCGUUGUCCGGAAUCAUUGGGCGUAAAGAGCGCGUAGGUGGCUUGUCAGGUCUGGUGUGAAAUUUCGGGGCUCAACCCCGAACCUGCAUCGGAAACCGGCUUGCUAGAGUCUGGGAGAGGAGAGUGGAAUUCCUGGUGUAGCGGUGAAAUGCGUAGAUAUCAGGAGGAACACCGGUAGCGAAGGCGGCCAUCUGGACCAGCACUGACACUGAGGCACGAAAGCGUGGGGAGCAAACAGGAUUAGAAACCCCUGUAGUCC